GUCGAGCGGAACGAGUUAUCUGAACCUUCGGGGAACGAUAACGGCGUCGAGCGGCGGACGGGUGAGUAAUGCCUAGGAAAUUGCCCUGAUGUGGGGGAUAACCAUUGGAAACGAUGGCUAAUACCGCAUAAUGCCUACGGGCCAAAGAGGGGGACCUUCGGGCCUCUCGCGUCAGGAUAUGCCUAGGUGGGAUUAGCUAGUUGGUGAGGUAAUGGCUCACCAAGGCGACGAUCCCUAGCUGGUCUGAGAGGAUGAUCAGCCACACUGGAACUGAGACACGGUCCAGACUCCUACGGGAGGCAGCAGUGGGGAAUAUUGCACAAUGGGCGCAAGCCUGAUGCAGCCAUGCCGCGUGUGUGAAGAAGGCCUUCGGGUUGUAAAGCACUUUCAGUCGUGAGGAAGGUAGUGUAGUUAAUAGCUGCAUUAUUUGACGUUAGCGACAGAAGAAGCACCGGCUAACUCCGUGCCAGCAGCCGCGGUAAUACGGAGGGUGCGAGCGUUAAUCGGAAUUACUGGGCGUAAAGCGCAUGCAGGUGGUUUGUUAAGUCAGAUGUGAAAGCCCGGGGCUCAACCUCGGAAUUGCAUUUGAAACUGGCAGACUAGAGUACUGUAGAGGGGGGUAGAAUUUCAGGUGUAGCGGUGAAAUGCGUAGAGAUCUGAAGGAAUACCGGUGGCGAAGGCGGCCCCCUGGACAGAUACUGACACUCAGAUG
This 712-nucleotide ribosomal RNA is filed under the name Vibrio sp. enrichment culture clone OGS104. Its description in RNAcentral is "bacterial SSU rRNA". It matches the Rfam family "Bacterial small subunit ribosomal RNA", at positions 61 to 753 of the family's 1533-position model. The record is from RNAcentral. Lineage: Bacteria; Pseudomonadati; Pseudomonadota; Gammaproteobacteria; Vibrionales; Vibrionaceae.